AUGGGCUACGAUGCCCAAACUUGUCUUAAACUCCUGGGGUCAAGUGAUUCUCCCACCUUAGCCUCUCAAAGUGAUAAGAUUACAGGUGGGAGCCAUUGUAUCUGGCCUCUCCUUAGUAUUUUUAUUCUAAGUCCACCAGCAAUGAAUGAGAGUUCCUGUUGCUCCACAUCUUUGCAAGCGUUUGGUGUUGUCAGAGUUCUGGAUUCUGGCUGUUCCAGUAGGUACUGUGGCAGCUCCUUGUUUCAAUUUGUAUUUCCCUCAUGAAAUAUUAUGCAGAGUGUUUUUCAUGUUUGUUCACCAUCUGUAUAUCAUGUUUGGUGAAGUAUCUGUUGAGUCUUUGGCCCAUAUUUUAAUCAGGUUGUUUGCUUUCUUAUUGUUGAGUUUUAAGAGUAUUGUAUGUUUUGGAUAAAGUUCUUUCUCAGUUGUUUUUUUGCAAAUAUUUUCCCUUAAACUAUGGCUUUUCAUUUCAUUCUCUUGACAGUAUCUUUUGCAGAACAGAAAUUUUUAAUUUUAAUGAAGUCCAGAUUAUCAACUCUGUAUUUUGUGUUGCACCUUUGUUGUCAUAUCUAAGAAGUUACUGUCAAAGCCAAGGUCAUCUAGAAUUUCUCCUAUUUAUACUCUAGGAGUUUUAUAUUUUAAGUUUACAUUUAAGUCUAUAAACUGUCUUGAGUUAAUUUUUAUGAAGGGUGUAAAGCAUGCAUCUAGUCAUUUUUUCUAUGUAAAUGUCUACUUGUUCAGGCAGCAUUUGUUGAAAUAUCUUAUACUCAUUGCACUGCUUUUGCUCCUUUGUCAAAGAUCAGCUGACCACAAUUAUAUUUAUGUAUACUUAUAUUUAUUUGACUCUAUUUUUAGGCGUUCUAUUCUGUUCUGCUCAUCAAUUUCCUUAUUCUUUUGAUUACUGUAAAUUAUAUUUAAGUCUUGAAGUUAGGUAGUAUCAGAUCUCUGAUUUUGUUCAGCCAACUUAGAGUUGGCUAUUGUAGGUCUUUAAUCUGUCCAUUUAAACUUUAGAAUCAAUUUGUCAGUAGCUACAAAGUAAUUUGCUGGGAUUUUGAUUGUGAUUGCAUUGAUUCUAUCCAUCAAGUUAGGAAAAACUGAC
RNAcentral lists this long non-coding RNA (1096 nucleotides) under Callithrix jacchus (white-tufted-ear marmoset). RNAcentral's name for it is "lncRNA (ENSCJAG00000071711.1)". Lineage: Eukaryota; Metazoa; Chordata; Mammalia; Primates; Cebidae. The record is from RNAcentral.